ACUUUCUCAAAAAACUUAUCUUGAAAAUAAGUUAAAGAUAAAUCUAGAAAGUU
RNAcentral lists this transfer RNA (53 nucleotides) under Lebertia trifurcilla. RNAcentral describes it as "tRNA-Ser". The record is from RNAcentral. Lineage: Eukaryota; Metazoa; Arthropoda; Arachnida; Trombidiformes; Lebertiidae.